RNAcentral lists this transfer RNA (66 nucleotides) under Sphaerodactylus townsendi. RNAcentral's name for it is "tRNA-Ala". It matches the Rfam family "tRNA". From Rfam's summary of the family: Transfer RNA (tRNA) molecules are approximately 80 nucleotides in length. Their secondary structure includes four short double-helical elements and three loops (D, anti-codon, and T loops). Further hydrogen bonds mediate the characteristic L-shaped molecular structure. tRNAs have two regions of fundamental functional importance: the anti-codon, which is responsible for specific mRNA codon recognition, and the 3' end, to which the tRNAs corresponding amino acid is attached (by aminoacyl-tRNA synthetases). tRNAs cope with the degeneracy of the genetic code in two manners: having more than one tRNA (with a specific anti-codon) for a particular amino acid; and 'wobble' base-pairing, i.e. permitting non-standard base-pairing at the 3rd anti-codon position. The record is from RNAcentral. Lineage: Eukaryota; Metazoa; Chordata; Lepidosauria; Squamata; Sphaerodactylidae.
GCGGCUUAGUGGGAGAGCCUCUGCUUUGCAUGCAGAAGUUCCCAGGUUCAAUCCUUGGCAUCUCCU